Molecule: ribosomal RNA, 267 nt
Filed under: Microsporidia sp. MS-3B
Lineage: Eukaryota; Fungi; Microsporidia
Description: partial small subunit ribosomal RNA
Rfam family: Microsporidia small subunit ribosomal RNA
Source: RNAcentral
GGAUGCUAGUCUCAUAGAUUUAGCCAUGCAUGUGUAAGCGAAGCGAUUAGUGGAGCGGCGGAAGGCUCAGUAACGGGCGAGUAUUUAAUCUCCAGAACCGGACAACCUCAGGAAACAGAGGGGAAAACGGAGUAAAAGCAUGUUUUGUGCAUGUGAUGAUAACGAUAGUGCAGGAGAGUAAGAAGCCAUCCCAUCAGUUAGUAAGUAGGGUAAGGGCCUAUUUAGACGAAGACGGGUACGGGGGAUCAGGGUUUGGUUCCGGAGAGG